AUGUGCUUAAUGAGUCUACUGUUAUCCUGUAAGGAAAAGAAAAAAAUGAUUUUGAUAGAUGAUGGCCUCGGUCAUAUCAUCAAAUCAAAUACAGAAAAUUCAGGAACAGACUGCAUGGUGUCUUCCAGUUUAGUUAUUCACAAAACUGAUUCUUCCAAAGUAAACGGAACAAGUGUGACUAAAAAUGUAAACUCAAACCAGAAGGUCACAACACAAACUGUGAUGCAUAAAGGACAGAAGGCUGUUUCACAGACUCCAUGGUUAGUUUACAACGACCAGAUGUUCAAACACUCAGCGUACAGGAAUUCCACAAGACGUACAUACAGAGAAAAUUUUCAGCAAUCGAGUGUCAUAUCAAGUUCUAGAAGCAAUUAUUCUUACAACAUCAAUGCAUCUUACUUGAGUGAAAACCUUGCCUUUCUCAUCCACCAGGUGAUUUUACAUUUACAUUUACAUUUAGUCAUUUAGCAGAUGCUUUUAUUCAAAGAAACUUACAAAUGAGGACAAUAGAAGCCAUCAAAACCAACAAAAAAGCAAUAAUAUGUAAGUGCUGUGAUAAGUCUCGGUUAACUUAACGCAGUACAUGUAGCAAGGUUUUUUUUUUUAUAUAAUAAAUAGAAAGAAAACAAGUUGAUAGAAUAGACA
Long non-coding RNA from Cyprinus carpio (common carp), 645 nucleotides. NCBI's taxonomy places the organism in Eukaryota, Metazoa, Chordata, Actinopteri, Cypriniformes, Cyprinidae. The record is from Ensembl.